UGCAAGUCGAGCGGACCGACGGGAGCUUGCUCCCUUAGGUCAGCGGCGGACGGGUGAGUAACACGUGGGUAACCUGCCUGUAAGACUGGGAUAACUCCGGGAAACCGGGGCUAAUACCGGAUGCUUGAUUGAACCGCAUGGUUCAAUCAUAAAAGGUGGCUUUUAGCUACCACUUACAGAUGGACCCGCGGCGCAUUAGCUAGUUGGUGAGGUAACGGCUCACCAAGGCGACGAUGCGUAGCCGACCUGAGAGGGUGAUCGGCCACACUGGGACUGAGACACGGCCCAGACUCCUACGGGAGGCAGCAGUAGGGAAUCUUCCGCAAUGGACGAAAGUCUGACGGAGCAACGCCGCGUGAGUGAUGAAGGUUUUCGGAUCGUAAAACUCUGUUGUUAGGGAAGAACAAGUACCGUUCGAAUAGGGCGGUACCUUGACGGUACCUAACCAGAAAGCCACGGCUAACUACGUGCCAGCAGCCGCGGUAAUAC
RNAcentral lists this ribosomal RNA (489 nucleotides) under Bacillus sp. (in: firmicutes). Its description in RNAcentral is "bacterial SSU rRNA". It matches the Rfam family "Bacterial small subunit ribosomal RNA", at positions 56 to 526 of the family's 1533-position model. Lineage: Bacteria; Bacillati; Bacillota; Bacilli; Caryophanales; Bacillaceae. The record is from RNAcentral.